GUAGCUUUGUCAAAGCUAAGCUACAGGUUUAAAUCCCGUAAAUUUCU
This 47-nucleotide transfer RNA is filed under the name Mammut americanum (American mastodon). Its description in RNAcentral is "partial tRNA-Asp". The record is from RNAcentral. Lineage: Eukaryota; Metazoa; Chordata; Mammalia; Proboscidea; Mammutidae.